Molecule: RNase P RNA, 361 nt
Filed under: Pseudodesulfovibrio sp.
Lineage: Bacteria; Pseudomonadati; Thermodesulfobacteriota; Desulfovibrionia; Desulfovibrionales; Desulfovibrionaceae
Description: RNase P RNA component class A
Rfam family: Bacterial RNase P class A
About the family: Ribonuclease P (RNase P) is a ubiquitous endoribonuclease, found in archaea, bacteria and eukarya as well as chloroplasts and mitochondria. Its best characterised activity is the generation of mature 5'-ends of tRNAs by cleaving the 5'-leader elements of precursor-tRNAs.
Source: RNAcentral
GGAGUCGGACAGGUCAUCGCUGCGAUCAGUGAUCGGAGAGGAAAGUCCGGGCUCCGUAGGGCAGGACGCUGGGUAACGCCCAGGGGGAGUGAUCCCCGUCAAGUGCAACAGAAAGUAGACCGCCUCCGGGUUUCCCGGAGGUAAGGGUGAAACGGUGGGGUAAGAGCCCACCAGCUGUCGUGGCAACGCGGCAGGCUAGGUGAACUCCGUCCGGAGCAAGACCAAAUAGGGUAGCGUACGUAGGUCGGCCCGACCGAUGCUACCGGGUAGGUUGCUUGAAGCGGCUGGUAACAGUCGCCCUAGAUGAAUGAUGACCGCCCCUCACGGGGAACAAGACCCGGCUUAUCGGCUGGCUCCAACU